GGCCUUGGUCCAAGUACAGUGGUGUUUAUAACUAAUUUAUCACAACCAGUUACAGAUUUCUUUGUUCCUUCUUCACUCCCACUGCUUGACUAGCCUAAA
Molecule: unclassified non-coding RNA, 99 nt
Organism: Prolemur simus (greater bamboo lemur)
Lineage: Eukaryota; Metazoa; Chordata; Mammalia; Primates; Lemuridae
Rfam family: Y RNA
About the family: Y RNAs are components of the Ro ribonucleoprotein particle (Ro RNP), in association with Ro60 and La proteins. The Y RNAs and Ro60 and La proteins are well conserved, but the function of the Ro RNP is not known.
Source: Ensembl